Molecule: long non-coding RNA, 560 nt
Organism: Vicia villosa (hairy vetch)
Lineage: Eukaryota; Viridiplantae; Streptophyta; Magnoliopsida; Fabales; Fabaceae
Exons: 3
Source: RefSeq, a predicted model, not a curated record
UAUUUCUCAAAGCAGCUUCCAUCUCAAACCAACAACACUCACUUCGUUUUUCCCCCUUCCAUCUCGAACCAACGGCACCACCAUCUUCUCCUCUGGCGAAGUUAGGAAGUUGAAUUAACUUGGGAGGAUGAAUCGAAAAUUUGGAGGUGGAAAGCAACCAACUGGGACUCCUUCACUGCCCUGGUCAUGUGUGGUUGUUAUCUGUUCUCUUCUUGCUGGUGCUUCUGUUGUACACAAUAUCUAUAAACCUAACCUUACAUUGCCACCAAUUGACGGAGUUGAUGGAACCAAGAAGAAACUAGAGGCGAAAGAAUGAUCAUCUCCUAGUUAUGGAUUUUUCUUAAUAUCUUGAAGAUGGGCAUGUCAUAGAGGCAGAGAUUGUUCUUCCCCAACAGUUAAUUUUUUUUUUAUAUUUGGCUUAGAUAUUAGGACCAUAUUUGGAUAUGUAAUUUAGUUAAACACUUUUAGUAUAAAUGUUUUUGUAUAAACUAUCGUUGUAUCCAAAGACAUAAUAAAGUCAAAUUAUUUUCAUAUAAUCUAAUCCCGACGAGCUUAUAGAA